This 2902-nucleotide ribosomal RNA is filed under the name Escherichia coli. Its description in RNAcentral is "bacterial LSU rRNA". It matches the Rfam family "Bacterial large subunit ribosomal RNA". The record is from RNAcentral. Lineage: Bacteria; Pseudomonadati; Pseudomonadota; Gammaproteobacteria; Enterobacterales; Enterobacteriaceae.
UUAAGCGACUAAGCGUACACGGUGGAUGCCCUGGCAGUCAGAGGCGAUGAAGGACGUGCUAAUCUGCGAUAAGCGUCGGUAAGGUGAUAUGAACCGUUAUAACCGGCGAUUUCCGAAUGGGGAAACCCAGUGUGUUUCGACACACUAUCAUUAACUGAAUCCAUAGGUUAAUGAGGCGAACCGGGGGAACUGAAACAUCUAAGUACCCCGAGGAAAAGAAAUCAACCGAGAUUCCCCCAGUAGCGGCGAGCGAACGGGGAGCAGCCCAGAGCCUGAAUCAGUGUGUGUGUUAGUGGAAGCGUCUGGAAAGGCGCGCGAUACAGGGUGACAGCCCCGUACACAAAAAUGCACAUACUGUGAGCUCGAUGAGUAGGGCGGGACACGUGGUAUCCUGUCUGAAUAUGGGGGGACCAUCCUCCAAGGCUAAAUACUCCUGACUGACCGAUAGUGAACCAGUACCGUGAGGGAAAGGCGAAAAGAACCCCGGCGAGGGGAGUGAAAAAGAACCUGAAACCGUGUACGUACAAGCAGUGGGAGCACGCUUAGGCGUGUGACUGCGUACCUUUUGUAUAAUGGGUCAGCGACUUAUAUUCUGUAGCAAGGUUAACCGAAUAGGGGAGCCGAAGGGAAACCGAGUCUUAACUGGGCGUUAAGUUGCAGGGUAUAGACCCGAAACCCGGUGAUCUAGCCAUGGGCAGGUUGAAGGUUGGGUAACACUAACUGGAGGACCGAACCGACUAAUGUUGAAAAAUUAGCGGAUGACUUGUGGCUGGGGGUGAAAGGCCAAUCAAACCGGGAGAUAGCUGGUUCUCCCCGAAAGCUAUUUAGGUAGCGCCUCGUGAAUUCAUCUCCGGGGGUAGAGCACUGUUUCGGCAAGGGGGUCAUCCCGACUUACCAACCCGAUGCAAACUGCGAAUACCGGAGAAUGUUAUCACGGGAGACACACGGCGGGUGCUAACGUCCGUCGUGAAGAGGGAAACAACCCAGACCGCCAGCUAAGGUCCCAAAGUCAUGGUUAAGUGGGAAACGAUGUGGGAAGGCCCAGACAGCCAGGAUGUUGGCUUAGAAGCAGCCAUCAUUUAAAGAAAGCGUAAUAGCUCACUGGUCGAGUCGGCCUGCGCGGAAGAUGUAACGGGGCUAAACCAUGCACCGAAGCUGCGGCAGCGACGCUUAUGCGUUGUUGGGUAGGGGAGCGUUCUGUAAGCCUGUGAAGGUGUGCUGUGAGGCAUGCUGGAGGUAUCAGAAGUGCGAAUGCUGACAUAAGUAACGAUAAAGCGGGUGAAAAGCCCGCUCGCCGGAAGACCAAGGGUUCCUGUCCAACGUUAAUCGGGGCAGGGUGAGUCGACCCCUAAGGCGAGGCCGAAAGGCGUAGUCGAUGGGAAACAGGUUAAUAUUCCUGUACUUGGUGUUACUGCGAAGGGGGGACGGAGAAGGCUAUGUUGGCCGGGCGACGGUUGUCCCGGUUUAAGCGUGUAGGCUGGUUUUCCAGGCAAAUCCGGAAAAUCAAGGCUGAGGCGUGAUGACGAGGCACUACGGUGCUGAAGCAACAAAUGCCCUGCUUCCAGGAAAAGCCUCUAAGCAUCAGGUAACAUCAAAUCGUACCCCAAACCGACACAGGUGGUCAGGUAGAGAAUACCAAGGCGCUUGAGAGAACUCGGGUGAAGGAACUAGGCAAAAUGGUGCCGUAACUUCGGGAGAAGGCACGCUGAUAUGUAGGUGAAGUCCCUCGCGGAUGGAGCUGAAAUCAGUCGAAGAUACCAGCUGGCUGCAACUGUUUAUUAAAAACACAGCACUGUGCAAACACGAAAGUGGACGUAUACGGUGUGACGCCUGCCCGGUGCCGGAAGGUUAAUUGAUGGGGUCAGCGCAAGCGAAGCUCUUGAUCGAAGCCCCGGUAAACGGCGGCCGUAACUAUAACGGUCCUAAGGUAGCGAAAUUCCUUGUCGGGUAAGUUCCGACCUGCACGAAUGGCGUAAUGAUGGCCAGGCUGUCUCCACCCGAGACUCAGUGAAAUUGAACUCGCUGUGAAGAUGCAGUGUACCCGCGGCAAGACGGAAAGACCCCGUGAACCUUUACUAUAGCUUGACACUGAACAUUGAGCCUUGAUGUGUAGGAUAGGUGGGAGGCUUAGAAGUGUGGACGCCAGUCUGCAUGGAGCCGACCUUGAAAUACCACCCUUUAAUGUUUGAUGUUCUAACGUUGACCCGUAAUCCGGGUUGCGGACAGUGUCUGGUGGGUAGUUUGACUGGGGCGGUCUCCUCCUAAAGAGUAACGGAGGAGCACGAAGGUUGGCUAAUCCUGGUCGGACAUCAGGAGGUUAGUGCAAUGGCAUAAGCCAGCUUGACUGCGAGCGUGACGGCGCGAGCAGGUGCGAAAGCAGGUCAUAGUGAUCCGGUGGUUCUGAAUGGAAGGGCCAUCGCUCAACGGAUAAAAGGUACUCCGGGGAUAACAGGCUGAUACCGCCCAAGAGUUCAUAUCGACGGCGGUGUUUGGCACCUCGAUGUCGGCUCAUCACAUCCUGGGGCUGAAGUAGGUCCCAAGGGUAUGGCUGUUCGCCAUUUAAAGUGGUACGCGAGCUGGGUUUAGAACGUCGUGAGACAGUUCGGUCCCUAUCUGCCGUGGGCGCUGGAGAACUGAGGGGGGCUGCUCCUAGUACGAGAGGACCGGAGUGGACGCAUCACUGGUGUUCGGGUUGUCAUGCCAAUGGCACUGCCCGGUAGCUAAAUGCGGAAGAGAUAAGUGCUGAAAGCAUCUAAGCACGAAACUUGCCCCGAGAUGAGUUCUCCCUGACUCCUUGAGAGUCCUGAAGGAACGUUGAAGACGACGACGUUGAUAGGCCGGGUGUGUAAGCGCAGCGAUGCGUUGAGCUAACCGGUACUAAUGAACCGUGAGGCUUAACCUU